ACCCGGAAACUGCAUUGAAUACUAUCCUGCUCGAGGGUUGGAGGGGGGACUGGAAUACUUGGUGUAGCAGUGAAAUGCGUAGAUAUCAAGUGGAACACCAGUGGCGAAGGCGAGUCCCUGGACAACUCCUGACACUGAGGCACGAAAGCUAGGGGAGCAAACAGGAUUAGAUACCCUGGUAGUCCUAGCCGUAAACGGUGCAUAUUUGCUGUAAAAGGAAUCGACCCCUUUUGUGGCGUAGCCAACGCGUUAAAUAUGCCGCCUGGGAAGUACGGUCGCAAGAUUAAAACUCAAAGAAAUUGACGGGGGCCUGCACAAGCGGUGGAGUAUGUGGCUUAAUUCGAUGCAACGCGAAGAACCUUACCUGGCCUUGACAUGUAUGUAGUAGAAGGAUGAAAGUCUGACGAGGUAG
RNAcentral lists this ribosomal RNA (412 nucleotides) under uncultured bacterium. RNAcentral's name for it is "bacterial SSU rRNA". It matches the Rfam family "Bacterial small subunit ribosomal RNA", at positions 612 to 1020 of the family's 1533-position model. The record is from RNAcentral.